This 429-nucleotide ribosomal RNA is filed under the name Gemmatimonadota bacterium. RNAcentral describes it as "Gemmatimonadetes bacterium partial 16S ribosomal RNA". It matches the Rfam family "Bacterial small subunit ribosomal RNA", at positions 355 to 776 of the family's 1533-position model. Lineage: Bacteria; Pseudomonadati; Gemmatimonadota. The record is from RNAcentral.
UAGGGAAUCUUCGGCAAUGGACGAAAGUCUGACCGAGCAACGCCGCGUGAGUGAAGAAGGUUUUCGGAUCGUAAAACUCUGUUGUUAGAGAAGAACAAGGACGUUAGUAACUGAACGUCCCCUGACGGUAUCUAACCAGAAAGCCACGGCUAACUACGUGCCAGCAGCCGCGGUAAUACGUAGGUGGCAAGCGUUGUCGGGAUUUAUUGGGCGUAAAGCGAGCGCAGGCGGUUUCUUAAGUCUGAUGUGAAAGCCCCCGGCUCAACCGGGGAGGGUCAUUGGAAACUGGGAGACUUGAGUGCAGAAGAGGAGAGUGGAAUUCCAUGUGUAGCGGUGAAAUGCGUAGAUAUAUGGAGGAACACCAGUGGCGAAGGCGGCUCUCUGGUCUGUAACUGACGCUGAGGCUCGAAAGCGUGGGGAGCAAACAGG